This 326-nucleotide ribosomal RNA is filed under the name uncultured eukaryote. RNAcentral's name for it is "partial 18S ribosomal RNA". It matches the Rfam family "Eukaryotic small subunit ribosomal RNA", at positions 1470 to 1796 of the family's 1831-position model. The record is from RNAcentral.
CCCUUAGAUGUUCUGGGCCGCACGCGCGCUACACUGAUGCAUUCAACGAGCCUAGCCUUGACCGAGAGGUCCGGGUAAUCUUUGAAACUGCAUCGUGAUGGGGCUAGAUUAUUGCAAUUAUUAAUCUUCAACGAGGAAUGCCUAGUAAGCGUGAUCCAUCAAAUCGCGUUGAUUACGUCCCUGCCCUUUGUACACACCGCCCGUCGCUCCUACCGAUUGAGUGUGUUGGUGAGGAGUUUGGAUUGGCCUCGGAAGGUGGUUCGCCACCGUCCGUAGCUGAGAAGUUCUCCAAACCGCCCCACUUAGAGGAAGGAGAAGUCGUAACA